UACGGAGGAUGCGAGCGUUAUCCGGAUUUAUUGGGUUUAAAGGGUGCGUAGGCGGGCUUUUAAGUCAGCGGUAAAAAUUCGGGGCUCAACCCCGUCCGGCCGUUGAAACUGGGGGCCUUGAGUGGGCGAGAAGAAGGCGGAAUGCGUGGUGUAGCGGUGAAAUGCGUAGAUAUCACGCAGAACCCCGAUUGCGAAGGCAGCCUUCCGGCGCCCUACUGACGCUGAGGCACGAAAGUGCGGGGAUCGAACAGG
RNAcentral lists this ribosomal RNA (252 nucleotides) under uncultured bacterium. Its description in RNAcentral is "partial 16S ribosomal RNA". It matches the Rfam family "Bacterial small subunit ribosomal RNA", at positions 524 to 776 of the family's 1533-position model. The record is from RNAcentral.